GCGACAUCAGCGCAGAGAUCCAGCAGCGACAGGAGGAGCUGGACGCCAUGACGCAGGCGCUGCAGGAGCAGGAUAGUGCCUUUGGCGCGGUCCACGCGCAGAUGCACGCGGCCGUCGGCCAGCUGGGCCGCGCGCGUGCUGAGACCGAGGAGCUGAUCCGCGAGCGCGUGCGCCAGGUGGUAGCUCACGUGCGGGCUCAGGAGCGCGAGCUGCUGGAGGCGGUGGAUGCGCGAUACCAGCGCGACUACGAGGAGAUGGCCAGUCGGCUGGGCCGCCUGGAUGCUGUGCUGCAGCGCAUCCGCACGGGCAGCGCGCUGGUGCAGAGGAUGAAGUGCUACGCCUCGGACCAGGAGGUGCUGGACAUGCACGGUUUCCUGCGCCAGGCGCUCUGCCGCCUGCGCCAGGAGGAGCCCCAGAGCCUGCAAGCCGCCGUGCGCACGGACGGCUUCGACGAGUUCAAGAUGCAGCUGUAUCCAAGAAAGCCAGCCCAGAGGCUGCCAGCACUCCCAGGGACCCUAUUGACGUUGACCUGCCCGAGGAGGCAGAGAGAGUGAAGGCUCAGGCUCAGGCCCUGGGGCUGGCUGAAGCCCAGCCUAUGGCUGUGGUACAGUCAGUGCCCGGGGCACACCCCGUGCCAGUGUACGCCUUCUCCAUCAAAGGCCCUUCCUAUGGAGA
This 675-nucleotide small RNA is filed under the name Pongo abelii (Sumatran orangutan). RNAcentral describes it as "processed transcript". The record is from RNAcentral. Lineage: Eukaryota; Metazoa; Chordata; Mammalia; Primates; Hominidae.